UUAUGGCUCAGGAUGAACGCUAGCGACAGGCUAACACAUGCAAGUCGAGGGGCAGCACGGGAGUAGCAAUACAACUGGUGGCGACCGGCGCACGGUGAGUAACGCGUAUGCAACCUACCUAUCAGAGGGGAAUAACCCGGCGAAAGUCGGACUAAUACCGCAUAAAACAGGGGCACCGCAUGGUGAUAUUUGUUAAAGAGAUUCGCUGAUAGAUGGGCAUGCGUUCCAUUAGGUAGUUGGUGAGGUAACGGCUCACCAAGCCGACGAUGGAUAGGGAACUGAGAGGUUGGUCCCCCACACUGGUACUGAGACACGGACCAGACUCCUACGGGAGGCAGCAGUGAGGAAUAUUGGUCAAUGGGCGGGAGCCUGAACCAGCCAAGUCGCGUGAAGGAAGAAGGAUCUAUGGUUCGUAAACUUCUUUUGCAGGGGAAUAAAGUGCAGGACGUGUCCUGUUUUGUAUGUACCCUGAGAAUAAGGAUCGGCUAACUCCGUGCCAGCCGCAGC
This 507-nucleotide ribosomal RNA is filed under the name uncultured bacterium. Its description in RNAcentral is "bacterial SSU rRNA". It matches the Rfam family "Bacterial small subunit ribosomal RNA", at positions 17 to 518 of the family's 1533-position model. The record is from RNAcentral.